This is a long non-coding RNA of Triticum dicoccoides, 653 nucleotides long. RefSeq lists it as uncharacterized. The record is from RefSeq and is a predicted model, not a curated record. Lineage: Eukaryota; Viridiplantae; Streptophyta; Magnoliopsida; Poales; Poaceae. The transcript has 2 exons.
UAUAUGGUGACGGGCGGGCGUAACCUUUUACCACUGCUCCUGGAGGCGUCAAGGGCGUCAUGCCCUCUGUCAUGAUUGGAUGGGGAUCCCAAGUUCAGUCCCAUCUUCGCUUUGCUCCCCCUCACUGCAGUUUCUCUCCUAUCUGUGGAGAUUUACUAUGUCUCUCUACAGCUAUUCUACUUGAUAUUGUUCUUGGAGCAUCAAAGGCAAUUGCUUUACUGGUUAACAUGUGUAGGAGGGUUUGUGGUUUAGCGUUAUUAUACCUCUGUAAAUACAUGUAUAGGAGGAUUCUUGGAGCUUUGCACAAUCAGUAAGGCCAUCAAAGCUAAUUGCCUUGCUGGUCAACAUGUAUAGGAGGACCUCUGUACAUACAUGUUUGCUCUUUGCUAUAAAAGAAGUCUCCUUUGGUGGAUUGAGAAGAUUGUGACUUUGAAACCUUUUAGAUGUACAGAAAGAAAGCAGAUUGUGGUCAACUGGGAGAACGACGAGUCUCGGAGGAGGACAAGUGGCGGGCGUAGCCGGUGGUCAAAUUUAUGGUAUGGGGAGAGUGGUUUCACAUAUUGGACUUGUACAGAAAGAGAGAACAUUGUGUUUCUUUUUGGAGGAUAAAUUUUGCCAGCAAUUGUGGUGCUUGCAAGCAGAAAACUUGUUCA